AUGGAAACCCAGUUAUGUCAUAUGAUGUUCUGAUGUGGCAGACAGGUGAAAGGAUGUUUUGCUGAAGCAGACACAUGAGAGGAUGUCUGACAUUUAGGAAGAAUAUAAAUACCACCCCACAGACAGUGGGAGGAGGCUCUGGCCUUGGUUCACCUUGCAUCGAGUUGCUGCUUUUAAUUUGCCCUGACUUCGUACAGGGAACUCGCCAAAGAACUUCUUGUGAUAUUCCGGUGGCUUCUCGCUGCUUCUACAGACUUGAGCUGAUUAACAGAGCCUCAUAGUUUCUUCUGGAACAAACUGCCGUUGCUGAUUCUGUGAGUGGUGAUUGCUGAAUGCACUGGACUGCCACUGUUGAUUUGUGUUGGUGUUUUGCUAGAGGACUGGACUGCUGACAACAAAGAUUGGAAUAGCCCCAAAGAACAAUUUCCAAACAGAUCUGCAACGGGGAAAAGGAGAUCUCGUGAUGUUGGCAGGGAUGGCCGUGCAGAUUGUGUCAGGUAUCCAGAGACAUUUAUCAACACCAGUCUUCCAGCACUAGACAUCUUUCCACGGUUUCCAGGCCUUUUACCAAAUGCCCCUGACCACAACACCUAGCGUCUUCGCUGUGCCCCUGACUUCAGUGGUGCCUCUGAUGACCGGCAAUGUGAAUGACUCUCCCUCCCGGCUGUGUGAACAUCGCACACGGAUGGUGGCCUGGAUGUCAUUUACACCUAUUGUCACAAAAAAAAAUUUUUAAAGUCACACUCAAUUUCUGGUGAUAAGAAAAGAAUGCGGGACAAAUUCACCCAGAACUGGUCGAGUAGGUUUAGAAUGUGUCAACAGCGUCCUUGUACUUCACGUUAGCUCCUUGGCCUCUAUGGAAUAUGCUAGACCCACUUCUUGGCUUCACUCUCCAGGCAAGGCCACAGCCUACCCCUCUGAGGACCCCAGGGCCCUGUGCAGGGUUGUACUCAUAUAGGUUUGAUGGACAUGUGGUAAACGUAUCUGUGAUCCCAUCUCAUGUGACCAGCCUCAGUCUGCAGAUCUCAAUGGCCUCAGGUUUGUGGAUGGUGGAGGUGCCACACCUCAGGGUGAAGUCAAGUUUCCCAGCCUCUGACUGGUAGCAUCCUCUAAGUAGGCACCACUGUGUUCCCGUUGAGUUCCAGGCACUGCUCACCAGGGUCAGAAUCCUGAUCUCCACCUAGGAAAUCCUAAUUGAUUUCAGCACCCUGAAGAAGGCAUGAGACCUGAGGCCGUUCCAAAAAGAGGCUAUCUAAGAGGAAGA
Molecule: long non-coding RNA, 1264 nt
Organism: Mus musculus (house mouse)
Lineage: Eukaryota; Metazoa; Chordata; Mammalia; Rodentia; Muridae
Product: predicted gene, 54304
Exons: 3
Source: RefSeq, a predicted model, not a curated record